RNAcentral lists this small nuclear RNA (103 nucleotides) under Chinchilla lanigera (long-tailed chinchilla). Lineage: Eukaryota; Metazoa; Chordata; Mammalia; Rodentia; Chinchillidae. The record is from RNAcentral.
GUGCUUGCUUUGGCAGCACAUGUAGUAAAAGGCAAUAUAGAGAAGAUUAAUAUGACCCCUGCUCAAGAAUGACAUGCAAAUUUAUGAAGAAUUUCAUAUUUUA